UACGAAGGGGGCUAGCGUUGCUCGGAAUGACUGGGCGUAAAGGGCGCGUAGGCGGAUAGUACAGUCAGAUGUGAAAUUCCCGGGCUCAACCUGGGGGCUGCAUUUGAUACGUGCUGUCUAGAGUCCGGAAGAGGGUGGUGGAAUUCCCAGUGUAGAGGUGAAAUUCGUAGAUAUUGGGAAGAACACCGGUGGCGAAGGCGGC
Molecule: ribosomal RNA, 202 nt
Filed under: uncultured bacterium
Lineage: Bacteria
Description: partial 16S ribosomal RNA
Rfam family: Bacterial small subunit ribosomal RNA
Source: RNAcentral